RNAcentral lists this ribosomal RNA (494 nucleotides) under uncultured bacterium. RNAcentral describes it as "partial 16S ribosomal RNA". It matches the Rfam family "Bacterial small subunit ribosomal RNA", at positions 28 to 507 of the family's 1533-position model. The record is from RNAcentral.
GAUGAACGCUGGCGGCGUGCCUAAUACAUGCAAGUAGAACGCUGAAGGAGGAGCUUGCUCUUCUGGAUGAGUUGCGAACGGGUGAGUAACGCGUAGGUAACCUGCCUGGUAGCGGGGGAUAACUAUUGGAAACGAUAGCUAAUACCGCAUGACAACAGUUAUUGCAUGAUAACUGUUUAAAAGGGGCAACUGCUCCACUACCAGAUGGACCUGCGUUGUAUUAGCUAGUUGGUGAGGUAACGGCUCCCAAGGCGACGAUACAUAGCCGACCUGAGAGGGUGAUCGGCCACACUGGGACUGAGACACGGCCCAGACUCCUACGGGAGGCAGCAGUAGGGAAUCUUCGGCAAUGGACGGAAGUCUGACCGAGCAACGCCGCGUGAGUGAAGAAGGUUUUCGGAUCGUAAAGCUCUGUUGUAAGAGAAGAACGAGUGUGAGAGUGGAAAGUUCACACUGUGACGGUAUCUUACCAGAAAGGGACGGCUAACUACGUG